UUGUUUUUUUUUUUUUUUUUUUUUUUUUUUUUUUUUUUUUUUUUUUUUUGAGAGAGAGAUAGAUAGCACGCUAUCUGUUUCGUUUAUUUCAUUUAGAAAUAAACUUAGCUAGAAAUGUAAAUCAACUAGGAUUCGAACUUGGGUCUCGGGUACCAACCACCAAACCCUUUGCCACUUGCUCUAGGGACGGUCGGUUGUUUCCGUUCAUUGUUAACACGAAAUUUUAUAACAUUU
RNAcentral lists this long non-coding RNA (234 nucleotides) under Ananas comosus (pineapple). RNAcentral's name for it is "long non-coding RNA (ACOM_LNC033932)". Lineage: Eukaryota; Viridiplantae; Streptophyta; Magnoliopsida; Poales; Bromeliaceae. The record is from RNAcentral.